AACUUUUAACAAUGGGUCUCUUGGUUCUGGCGUCGAUUAAGAACGCAGCGAAAUGCGAUAAGUAAUGUGAAUUGCAGAAUUCAGUGAAUCAUCGAAUCUUUGAACGCACAUUGCGCCCCUUGGUAUUCCGGGGGGCAUGCCUGUUCGAGCGUCAUUAUAACCCCUCAAGCUCAGCUUGGUGUUGGGGCCUGCCGUCUGGCAGCCCUUAAAAUCAGUGGCGGUGCCAUCUGGCUCUAAGCGUAGUAAUCUUUCUCGCUACAGAGUUCUGGUGGAUGCUUGCCAUCAACCCCCAAUUUUCUAUGGUUGACCUCGGAUCAGGUAGGGAUACCCGCUGAACUUAAGCAUAUCAAUAAGCGGAGGCU
RNAcentral lists this unclassified non-coding RNA (362 nucleotides) under uncultured Helotiales. Its description in RNAcentral is "sequence contains ITS2". The stretch from base 1 to 154 matches the Rfam family "5.8S ribosomal RNA". Lineage: Eukaryota; Fungi; Ascomycota; Leotiomycetes; Helotiales. The record is from RNAcentral.